Molecule: ribosomal RNA, 230 nt
Filed under: uncultured bacterium
Lineage: Bacteria
Description: partial 16S ribosomal RNA
Rfam family: Bacterial small subunit ribosomal RNA
Source: RNAcentral
UAACCUGCUUGGAGUGGGAAUAACAGUUGGAACAGCUGCUAAUACCGCAUGAUGCAGUUGAGUCGCAUGGCUCUGACUGCCAAAGAUUUAUCGCUCUGAGAUGGACUCGCGUCUGAUUAGCUAGUUGGCGGGGUAACGGCCCACCAAGGCGACGAUCAGUAGCCGGACUGAGAGGUUGGCCGGCCACAUUGGGACUGAGACACGGCCCAGACUCCUACGGAAGGCAGCAG